This 332-nucleotide long non-coding RNA is filed under the name Arachis ipaensis. RNAcentral's name for it is "long non-coding RNA (AIPA_LNC000855)". Lineage: Eukaryota; Viridiplantae; Streptophyta; Magnoliopsida; Fabales; Fabaceae. The record is from RNAcentral.
UCCAAUCUAUUGGCCAGUUUUCGGGGUACAAAAUAAAGAAAUACAUUAAUUAAAGGGUGGAAACUUAAGUGCAGUCGAUUUUAUGUGAAAUUGAUAAUUGAGAGUCGUUAAAUGAUUUGACUGAUUUGACUAAAUUUUCAUUUAACGGCUCUCAACUAUCUAUCAAUUUCACGUGAAGUUGACUGUACUUUGAGUUUUCAACUAAUUAAAGACUUGGCACAAGUUUAAAAUCUAUUAGCGUUUGAUGAAGUAAUAGAUUCUUGUUGAUGCGCCGCUGAUACACCUGAAAUAAGUACUUGUUAGUCUUAUUAUUAGCUUCAUCUUUUGCCAGC